Drosophila yakuba is the source of this 891-nucleotide long non-coding RNA. RefSeq lists it as uncharacterized. The record is from RefSeq and is a predicted model, not a curated record. Lineage: Eukaryota; Metazoa; Arthropoda; Insecta; Diptera; Drosophilidae. The transcript is spliced from 2 exons.
ACAUACGCUCAUUCAUUGUUAACAGGUUUUCUUCUUUGCAUUAUUUUCAGUUGGAAUUCCAUGUGCAGAACUUUUUCAUGUUGCCUUCCCUCGCGUUUUAAUCGCGUUUAACCUCAAGCAGACGAACGAAAUUGAAUAUUGCUGUAUUUGAAAAUUAAUUUACUCUAUUAAAAAACACCGUUAGCGCUUGAAACUAUUUUUUUUCGAAAAGAAUAUAAUGUUUUCUUGAUAUAUAAUUUGACUAUUCGGUAAGCAUUUUAGGUAAUAUUUUUUGCAAGAAACUGCUGACGCCAUAUAUGGCUGUAUAUGCAGCCAAGUAGUCAACAUUAUUUCUACUUAUGUAUGUGGGAAGCAAUCCUGUUUCAACAAAAAAGCGAUACAGUAAGAAAGACAAAAAGUAUAUAGAAAUCGAGUCUCCUAAGGCAGUUGAUGUUUACUAUCACCAUAUGGGUGGCGUUGAUUUACUUGAUUCUUUACUGGGACUUUAUAGAAUUCAAUUGCGUUCAAGAAAAUGGUAUAAAAAAUUUUUUCCACAUGAUUGCAUGUGCGUGGUUAAUUCGUGGAUUUUAUACCGUCGCAGGAAAAGUAAAGAAGCGCGGGCGUCCUGGGAUGACUCCAACUGCAUCGCCGACUACAAGCAGGGAAGGUACUCCUUCUACCAGAAAGCAAAUGAGGCACCAGGAUUUUCCCUUUAAUUCGGUUCGAGAGGACACAAUUGGACAUUUGCCCACUUGAAAAAAAAAAUAGGAAACUCUGCCAAAACGAUUGUUCCUUCCGAUCAUUCACCUUUUGCGAGAAAUGCAAUGUAUUUUUAUGUUAUAAUGAGAAAAGAAACUGUUUUGCCGGCUUUCACAUGAUUGCAUAGAAAGCCAUAUAUGGCAAACUUUGAAA